RNA transcript from Mangifera indica (mango), 2818 nucleotides. It is a transcript of the gene named protein FAR1-RELATED SEQUENCE 6-like, with no coding region annotated. The transcript is spliced from 4 exons. The record is from RefSeq and is a predicted model, not a curated record. Lineage: Eukaryota; Viridiplantae; Streptophyta; Magnoliopsida; Sapindales; Anacardiaceae.
GUUCAUAUGGUAAAAAAUUGAUGUUCUUAAGAAGCGUUUUACGGUUCUGGUCAAUCUUAAUAUCGAAGAUUUUUUGACUGCCUAUAGAAAAAAUUUAGAGUUGCAGAAUCAAAAAUCAAGUUGCCGUACUUGUGGGUCACCGAUUCCUACAGUAUUAAAACGAUCAAAACCGAUCAAGGAACAGUUUAAGUUUCAAUUUCUAAGCUCUAGUUUCAACUUCAGUGCCACCAAAGUAGAAGGUUUUAGUCCUUUCAAAUUCUCUUAAAAAUCAAAAUAAACGUGCUGAAGCCCCGUCCCUUCUUGAGAACUCGACGGAACUGAUUAAUCUGAGGUGGAUUUCAUAUCAAUUAUGGAUGAAGUUUCUCUCAACACGGAGCCAGCAGGUGAUGAUGAUGUUGAAGAUUUUGAGGUAGUUGGAGAUUGUGCAAUGACAGAAUAUGUAGGUCAAACUGGUAUUCUCCAAAAUCCCCUGCCUCCUGCUGUUGGAAUGGAGUUUGAAACGUAUGAAGAUGUAUAUUACUUCUACAAUUGCUAUGCCAAAGAACAGGGAUUUGGUGUCAGAGUUAGCAAUACAUGGUACAGAAAAAGUAAAGAAAAAUACAGAGGAAAACUUAGCUGCAGUAGUGCAGGUUUCAAGAAGAAAAGUGAAGCAAAUCGCCCAAGACCAGAAACAAGGACUGGUUGUCCAGCAAUGAUAAAGUUCAGGUUGAUGGAAAAUAAAAGGUGGAGAAUUAUUGAAGCUGAGCUUGAGCACAACCACUUGAUUAGCCCGGCAAGUGGAAAGUUUUAUAAGUCACAUAAGCACAUAGGUCCUGGAACCAAAAGAACAUUGCAGUUAGAUGGUGCUGAUGAAGUACAAAAAAUUCGUUUAUUUCGAACUGUGAUUAUUGAUGCUGAGGGAAAUGGUAAUGUAGAUGUUAGUGGAGAAUUUGGGAACAAUGUUGACAACUGCAAUAAAUUGAAGCUUAAAGCAGGAGAUGCCCAAUCUGUUCAUAAUUUCUUUUGUCGCUUGCAGUUGAUGGAUCCUAACUUCUUUAAUGUGGUAGAUCUAAAUGAAAAAGGAUGCUUGAGGAAUCUGUUCUGGACUGAUGCAAGGUCAAGAGUUGCAUAUAGGUAUUUUGGUGAUGUAGUUUCAAUUGACACAACAUGCUUGGCAGACAAAUAUGAUGUACCUCUGGUUUCAUUUAUCGGCAUGAAUCACCAUGGACAACCAGUUUCACUGGGCUGUGGAUUACUUGCAGGUGAGACCAUUGAAUCAUAUACAUGGUUGUUUAGGGCAUGGCUUACAUGCAUGUUAGGACGCCCUCCACAAUCAAUCAUCACAGACUACUGUAAAAUCUUGCAAGUUGCUGUUGCUGAUGUUUUCCCAAGAGCUUAUCAUUGUUUUUCUUUAUGGCAUAUCAUGCAAGAAGUUCCAAAUAAAUUACACGGAUUGUUUGAAUAUGAAGCAAUUGAAGUGGCACUGAAUAAAACAGUUUAUCACUCUCUAAGGCCUGAGGAAUUUGAAACAUCGUGGGAAGAUAUGAUCCAACGUCAUGGAAUAAGGGAGCAUGAAUGGAUUCAAACUUUAUAUGAAGAUCGAAGACGGUGGGCUCCAGUUUACUUAAAGGAGACAUUUUUGGCAGGACUCUUUCCAGUCCAUCAGAAUGAUGCUUUUACUCCAUUUUUUAAAGGAUAUCUUGAGAAAAAUACCCCUUUGAAAGAAUUUCUGGAGAAGUAUGAUCAAGCUCUUCAAGCAAAUUAUCAACUUGAAGCUUUGGCAGAUAUGGAAUCAAGAAACUCAAGUCAUUUGCUCAAGCCAAGGUGUUACUUUGAGUUCCAACUCGGAACAUUGUAUACAAAUGAAAUAUCAAGGAAGUUUGAGAGAGAGAUUGAUGGAAUGUACUCUUGUUUUAGCACUAGGCAUAUGAAUGCUGAGGGGCCAAUUGUAACAUACAUAGUUAAGGAAGAAUUUGAAGAUGGAAAUGGGAGAGAUUCCAGAGUUUUUGAUGUUCUGUACAAUCCAUCUGAAAAGGAAGUGCUUUGUGUUUGCGGGAUGUUCAAUUUCAGAGGAUAUUUAUGUAGACACAUCCUGAGUGUUCUAAAACAGAACGGUAUGCCGGAAAUCCCAUCUCAUUACAUUCUUUCGCGAUGGAGAAAAGAUAUCAAACGUUCUUAUGUUCUUGAUCAUAGCUGCAGUGGCAUUGAUAUUGAUAACCCAGUGCACAGGUAUGAUCAUCUGUACAAACGCAUUAUGCAGGCUGUCGAGGAAGGGAGACAAUCCGAAGAUCGUUACAAGGUUACAAUGCAAGCAUUAGAUGAGAUAUUAAAGAAGCUUCAUCUGGUAGAGGAUGAUCAAGUAUAAUUUAUGAAGCAGGAUUAUCAAAGCUCUUCCUAGAUGAUAAAAACCAGCAAACAAAUUCAUGGCUAGUUUCAUACCUGCCGGAUUUGGUGCUGCUCUCGAUGCAUUUGAUGACCAAAUAUUGGCACUUGUAGUCAUUGAGAAGCACAAGAGCUCCCUGAAGAUGCUAAGAACUCCUGAGUGUUCAAAAAGUGGAGCAUCUGUGUUAGCGACCCAUGUAACUGUUCCUUAUGAAACUUUCGUGUAUCAAAUGCAAAAGUUCUUAAAGGAUUCGCCUGAAGAACCCAAGUAUUCUAUUUAAACUUUGUUGAGCAGAGCAAGAAUGAUGAGCACAUCGGAUGGUUUAUUAUUAUUUCUUUCCAUAUGAGACCUUGAUUAUGAGUGCUGGAAAUGGCAAUUCUUAAACAUCUCUUAGCUUCCUCCUGUUUGCUGUUGUGAAUUUUAUAUGGAAACCACAUCUCCGUUUUUCAAUUUGAA